RNAcentral lists this ribosomal RNA (650 nucleotides) under uncultured archaeon. RNAcentral describes it as "bacterial SSU rRNA". It matches the Rfam family "Archaeal small subunit ribosomal RNA", at positions 249 to 905 of the family's 1478-position model. The record is from RNAcentral.
UCACCAAGCCUUUGACCGGUACGGGCCGUGAGAGCGGGAGCCCGGAGAUGGGCACUGAGACAAGGGCCCAGGCCCUAUGGGGCGCAGCAGUUGCGAAACCUCCGCAAUGCGCGAAAGCGUGACGGGGUUACCCCAAGUGCCAUCCGCUGAGGACGGCUUUUCUUUGGUGUAAUGAGCCAAAGGAAUAAGGGGAGGGCAAGACUGGUGUCAGCCGCCGCGGUAAUACCAGCUCCCCGAGUGGUAGGGACAAUUAUUGGGCUUAAAGCGUCCGUAGCCGGUCUGACAAGUCUUUUGUUAAAUCCAGCGACCUAAUCGUUGGGCUGCGGGAGAUACUUUCAGGCUAGGGGACGGGAGAGGCCGAUGGUAUUCUUGGGGUAGGGGUGAAAUCCUAUAAUCCCAGGAGGACCACCAGUGGCGAAGGCGAUCGGCUAGAACGCGCUCGACGGUGAUGGACGAAAGCUGGGGGAGCGAACCGGAUUAGAUACCCGGGUAGUCCCAGCUGUAAACGAUGCGAGCUAGGUGUUGGGGUGGUUACGAACCGCUUCAGUGCCGUAGGGAAACUGUUAAGCUCGCCGUCUGGGAAGUACGGUCGCAAGGCUGAAACUUAAAGGAAUUGGCGGGGGAGCACAAGGGCGAAUCGCGCCGCUAUG